Zophobas morio is the source of this 355-nucleotide long non-coding RNA. RefSeq lists it as uncharacterized. The transcript is spliced from 3 exons. The record is from RefSeq and is a predicted model, not a curated record. Lineage: Eukaryota; Metazoa; Arthropoda; Insecta; Coleoptera; Tenebrionidae.
ACUGCACUGUUUCUGACUUUUUUUGAGUAUAACAGGGGCAGCUUCUGAGGAAGAGUACCCAUUUGAAAGGGAAUUGCUUUUUAGCACUCUUUGGCCAAAGCUAUACUCAAAAAUCUUUUAGCAAAGCAUUAGUAAAGAAAUGAGCAUGACUAAAAACUUAUUUAUUGAACACCAUCCAUAGAAUCAAGAAGGAGCGUCCAAUCUGUCAAUCCUUACCAUGUCUGGACCUGGGCCUUCGCAGGUGUUGCAAAAAAAGUUUGAGCCUUGCAACCCCUUGAAAAAGGCAAUGUGAUAUUACAUUAACUUCAUAAAAGUUAAAAUUUUAAUAGUUUAGAGAUUUUUGCAAUAGUUAUAA